Molecule: long non-coding RNA, 820 nt
Filed under: Gallus gallus (chicken)
Lineage: Eukaryota; Metazoa; Chordata; Aves; Galliformes; Phasianidae
Description: long non-coding RNA NONGGAT002284
Source: RNAcentral
CGCGCAGGCGCGGAGCGAGAGGAAGAUGGCGGCCCCCCUGGACUUGGAGCUGAAGAAGGCCUUCACGGAGCUGCAGGCCAAGGUGAUCGACACGCAGCAGAAGGUGAAGCUCGCCGACAUCCAGAUCGAGCAGCUGAGCAAGACCAAGAAGCACGCGCACCUCACUGACACCGAGAUCAUGACGCUGGUGGACGAGACCCGCAUGUACGAGGGCGUGGGCAGGAUGUUUAUUCUUCAGUCUAAAGGAGUCAUUCAUAAUCAGCUUUUAGAAAAGCAGAGAAUAGCAGAAGAGAAAAUUAAGGAAUUAGAGGUCUGGUUGUCUUGUUGCACAGGAGAAUUUUUCUUCUCCUUUGAAAAGGGAAAUACCCUGAACAGUGAGCAAAACAAGCCUUAAAUGUAAUGUAAUGAUGAAAAGGUUGAGAGUGUCGGAGUUAACGCCCUUGGAACAGAACCUUCUUAAUGGAGAAGUCCUCUGAUGCUGGACUGGUGCCAUACAAAUUUAAGUUAAUUUAGCAGACCCCUUAUAGCUCUGUUGUUGAUACAGCCCAGCAACUCUGAGGAGGUUUCAGAGGGAACAAAAUUCAGUCUGUGUGACCACUGCCCAGCCAGAAAGCAGAAGAAGUCGUACCUGGAACGGAGCGUGAAGGAAGCAGAAGAUAACAUUAGGGAGAUGCUGAUGGCCCGGAGGGCACAGUAGAUGCGAUUUCCUGUUGGGCCAUGGAUGGACCUGUGCCGCCCUCUGGGUGAUGCUGGCAGCUCUGCUGUGAUGGCUGUUACCUGGCAGAUCUAAUAAACCCUGCUGCAAAGCCCAUGUCAGCUC